UGGGGAAUAUUGCACAAUGGGCGCAAGCCUGAUGCAGCCAUGCCGCGUGUGUGAAGAAGGCCUUCGGGUUGUAAAGCACUUUCAGCGAGGAGGAAGGGUAGUGUGUUAAUAGCACAUUGCAUUGACGUUACUCGCAGAAGAAGCACCGGCUAACUCCGUGCCAGCAGCCGCGGUAAUACGGAGGGUGCAAGCGUUAAUCGGAAUUACUGGGCGUAAAGCGCACGCAGGCGGUUUGUUAAGUCAGAUGUGAAAUCCCCGCGCUUAACGUGGGAAC
Molecule: ribosomal RNA, 274 nt
Filed under: uncultured bacterium
Lineage: Bacteria
Description: partial 16S ribosomal RNA
Rfam family: Bacterial small subunit ribosomal RNA
Source: RNAcentral